UCGAGAAUAUUCCACAAUGGACGAAAGUCUGAUGGAGCGACGCCGCGUGCAGGAAGAAGGCCCUUGGGUCGUAAACUGCUUUUGUAAGGGAAGAAUGUAAUGACGGUACCUUACGAAUAAGAGGUUACUAACUCUGUGCCAGCAGUAGCGGUAAUACAGAGACCUCAAGCGUUAUCCGGAUUUAUUGGGCGUAAAGCGUGUGUAGGCGGAUAUAUUAGUCAGAUGUCAAAUCUUCGAGCUCAACUCGAAAACUGCAUUUGAAACGGUAUAUCUAGAGAGAGGGAGAGAUCAAUGGAACAUAUGGUGUAGCAGUGAAAUGCGUUGAUAUCAUAUGGAACACCAAAGGCGAAGGCAUUUGGUUGGCCCUCAUCUGACGCUGAGACACGAAAGCGUGGGUAGCGAAUGGG
This 407-nucleotide ribosomal RNA is filed under the name uncultured bacterium. Its description in RNAcentral is "bacterial SSU rRNA". It matches the Rfam family "Bacterial small subunit ribosomal RNA", at positions 355 to 776 of the family's 1533-position model. The record is from RNAcentral.